Molecule: ribosomal RNA, 490 nt
Filed under: Pyrocoelia rufa
Lineage: Eukaryota; Metazoa; Arthropoda; Insecta; Coleoptera; Lampyridae
Description: partial 16S rRNA
Rfam family: Bacterial large subunit ribosomal RNA (bases 367-490)
Source: RNAcentral
GUCUUUUUGAUUAUAAUUUAAAGUCUAAUCUGCUCAAUGAAAGUUUAAAUAGCCGCAGUAUUUUGACUGUGCAAAGGUAGCAUAAUAAUUAGUUUUUUAAUUAGGAACUUGUAUGAAUGAUUGGACAAGAAAAUUUCUGUCUCUUAUUAAUUUUUUUUGAAUUUAAUUUUUAAGUUAAAGUGCUUAAAUUUUUGUAAAAGACGAGAAGACCCCAUAGAGUUUUAUUUUCAAAUAUUUUUAGUAUAAUUUAUUAAAAUUGAAAAAUUAGUUGGGGUGACUUAAAGAUUAAAUAAACUCUUUAAAUUUUGAUCAUUUAUUUGUGAAUUGUGAUUCUAAUUUUUUAAGUUUAAAUUAAAUUACCUUGGGGAUAACAGCGUAAUUUCUUUUAAGAGUUCUUAUCAAAUAAGAAGAUUGCGACCUCGAUGUUGGAUUAAAAUUUAUUUUAGGUGUAGAAGCUUGAAAAUUAAGUCUGUUCGACUUUUAAAAUUUU